This 385-nucleotide ribosomal RNA is filed under the name Leuconostoc lactis. RNAcentral's name for it is "bacterial SSU rRNA". It matches the Rfam family "Bacterial small subunit ribosomal RNA", at positions 383 to 754 of the family's 1533-position model. The record is from RNAcentral. Lineage: Bacteria; Bacillati; Bacillota; Bacilli; Lactobacillales; Lactobacillaceae.
CUGAUGGAGCAACGCCGCGUGUGUGAUGAAGGCUUUAGGGUCGUAAAGCACUGUUGUAUGGGAAGAAAUGCUAGAAUAGGGAAUGAUUCUAGUUUGACGGUACCAUACCAGAAAGGGACGGCUAAAUACGUGCCAGCAGCCGCGGUAAUACGUAGGUCCCGAGCGUUAUCCGGAUUUAUUGGGCGUAAAGCGAGCGCAGACGGUUGAUUAAGUCUGAUGUGAAAUCCCGGAGCUCAACUCCGGAAUGGCAUUGGAAACUCGUUAACUUGAGUGUUGUAGAGGUAAGUGGAACUCCAUGUGUAGCGGUGGAAUGCGUAGAUAUAUGGAAGAACACCAGUGGCGAAGGCGGCUUCCUGGACGGCAACUGCCGUGAGCAGCAGUGCAC